Molecule: long non-coding RNA, 1934 nt
Organism: Populus nigra (black poplar)
Lineage: Eukaryota; Viridiplantae; Streptophyta; Magnoliopsida; Malpighiales; Salicaceae
Exons: 2
Source: RefSeq, a predicted model, not a curated record
AAAAAGACCUCCAGCUCGCAAUUAAAUAACCUGUAGGCACUGUCCUCUUAGAAAGUUCAUGCCUAUAAAUUAAACAAGCUCCUCUUGGUUCUUCACCAUUGCAGCUGAUUUGCUUUCUUUAUCAGCUUCUCUCCCCCUCCCUCUGUGUGUGCGUGCGUGCGUGUGUUUUUCUUCAAUUGUUGUGAGCUAUCUAUCAUAUAAGAGGAGGACGAUGAUGAUACCAUAUAUGUUCGCUCGCCGGACGUAAUGGCAUGAUUUUGCCUUGCCGAGCCUGCUUCACUGCUGUUCUGAGUCCUCUCUUUAUCUCAUAAAACUAAGCAGCAUUACGCACGCUUCAUGCCUAUAAAUUAAACAUGCUCCUGGCCCUUCACCAUUGCAGCUGAUUUGCUCUCUCUCUCUCUCUCUCUCUCUCUCUCUCUCUCUCUCUCUCUCUCUCUCUCUCUCUCUCUCUCUCUUGUGUGUGUGUUUUUCGUCAAUUGUUGUGAGCUAUCAUAUAAGAGGAGGACGAUGAUGACACUAUGCAUGUUCGCUCGCCGGACGUAAUGGCAAGAUUUUGCCUUGCCGAUCCUACUUUACUGCUGUUCUGAGUCCUCUCUUUAUCUCAUAAAACUAGGCAGCAUUUCGCACGCCUUAUUUUCUUCUUGCCAUAAGGCAUUGAGUUCACGUCAUCCUUAAUUAAUUACAUUAAUGUUAUUUUUCGUUUUCCUUUCCAGUUGAGGUCCAACAUGGUGGAAGUGGUCUUGCCAUUGGCAGCUUCUAUGAAUCCGCAAUUAAAUUUUAACGGUCAAUUCGGAAGCAAACCACACUUUUUUUUUUAAUUUAUGAUUUUAUGCUGGGGAGGAAAAUGAAGCUGACGAAUUAAUUUUUAAGCUAGCAAGUGCAGAACAACUGGCCUUUUCUCCUUCGCUUUGAACUGCCUAUCACAGACUUUUCAUGGCAUAAAGGAAGAAGCACCCUCUAACUGAUAUUUUUUUGGCAGCAUAAACUCAUUCAAUUCGACAAUUGAUAACAGGUUUAAGACCGCGCGGCCUAGAAGGAGCAAGAGGCUUCAGUCGGGCGGCGGAGCAAAACCGAAACAGAGAUGCAAUUAGCAAGAGAAAGAAAACGAGUAUCGAACCGCUGUAAAACGAGUAUCGAACCGCAUUUACAGCAGACGGAUGAAAUGGAUAAAACAUAAGACUUCAGACUCUUUACAGAUUCACAAGUGCACAGUUCUAGCUAUCUCAAAGACACGAUUAUAAUAAAAACCUAGCAUAGCACCAGUUCAGCACGCUCACACAGAGCCACCGUGAGAUGUAGCGCCUUGAUUGCCCAAGAAAUGAACGACAACACAGGUGAUGUUAUCUGCACUUCCUCUCUGGUACGCCUCCUGCAACAACCUCUUUGCUGCCUGCUCUGGGUCCGUGAUCGGCUUGAUCAUUUCAACAGCUUCCUGAGGAGAACGGAUGAAGCAUCAGAUGGUGAUGGCAGCAGCAAAACACCAUCCUUUGUUUUUAUUUUCACAAGCAAAAAACCUUAUUAAAUUGCAUUAAAGGCCAGUUUCCACCAGAUCAUUCGCAGUGAGAGUGUUAUCAAGGAAACAAAAAGAGAUUGUUCCAAACCUCGUUUGUGACAACGUCCCAUAAUCCAUCACUUGCAAGGAUGAGAAACUCAAGGGACCUGUCAACCUUUUCCUCCUACAGUUUCCAUGACAAUGUCAGUGGCUAAAACAUGCUCAAAAGUGAGAUGGAGAGGAGAAAAGCAAUACAAGGCUCGAGAACCCUAAAAUGCAACGACACUUCAGCAAUAUUCAAGCAUUUGCGGAUAAAUUACUAUCUCCAAAACACACCACUGUAAACAUCUAGGUGCUGGCGUAUAUGCGCUCACGAGUAAUGAGAUUCAAAAAUUUGGAAGGUUUAUCCUUUUAAGAUAUAUCUUAAUUUGAAUACUGUCAA